Molecule: long non-coding RNA, 158 nt
Organism: Haliotis rubra (blacklip abalone)
Lineage: Eukaryota; Metazoa; Mollusca; Gastropoda; Lepetellida; Haliotidae
Exons: 3
Source: RefSeq, a predicted model, not a curated record
UCAGUUGAAGACCUGUUGACUAGUGUUUGGAAUCGGAAACCAAAUCCACUAUCGAUUAUCCGGGAGGAUUGUGGUGAAUGAUUAACGAUUAUAAUCGAAAUAUAUACAUUUUAAUGUAAUCACCAAUUUUAGGGUUUUCCGGUAUUUUCUAAUUAAUG